RNAcentral lists this ribosomal RNA (305 nucleotides) under uncultured bacterium. Its description in RNAcentral is "bacterial SSU rRNA". It matches the Rfam family "Bacterial small subunit ribosomal RNA", at positions 333 to 655 of the family's 1533-position model. The record is from RNAcentral.
GAUAGCCUACGGGAGGCAGCAGUAGGGAAUAUUGCUCAAUGGGGGAAACCCUGAAGCAGCAACGCCGCAUGGAGGAUGAAGGUUUUCGGAUUGUAAACUCCUUUUGUUAGAGAAGAUAAUGACGGUAUCUAACGAAUAAGCACCGGCUAACUCCGUGCCAGCAGCCGCGGUAAUACGGAGGGUGCAAGCGUUACUCGGAAUCACUGGGCGUAAAGAGCGCGUAGGCGGGAUAGCAAGUCAGAUGUGAAAUCCUAUGGCUUAACCAUAGAACUGCAUUUGAAACUGUACUUCUUGAGUGCUGGAGA